GUCCCUGUAGCGCAAUGGAUAGCGCGCUGGACCUCUAAUCCAGAGGUUGUGGGUUUGAAUUCCACCUGGGAUG
RNAcentral lists this transfer RNA (73 nucleotides) under Trichonephila inaurata madagascariensis. It matches the Rfam family "tRNA". Rfam says of the family: Transfer RNA (tRNA) molecules are approximately 80 nucleotides in length. Their secondary structure includes four short double-helical elements and three loops (D, anti-codon, and T loops). The record is from Rfam by way of RNAcentral. Lineage: Eukaryota; Metazoa; Arthropoda; Arachnida; Araneae; Nephilidae.